This 1346-nucleotide ribosomal RNA is filed under the name uncultured bacterium. RNAcentral's name for it is "partial 16S ribosomal RNA". It matches the Rfam family "Bacterial small subunit ribosomal RNA", at positions 28 to 1381 of the family's 1533-position model. The record is from RNAcentral.
GACGAACGCUGGUGGCGUGCUUAACACAUGCAAGUCGAACGGAAAGGCCCUGCUUUUGUGGGGUGCUCGAGUGGCGAACGGGUGAGUAACACGUGAGUAACCUGCCCUUGACUUUGGGAUAACUUCAGGAAACUGGGGCUAAUACCGGAUAGGAGCUCCUGCUGCAUGGUGGGGGUUGGAAAGUUUCGGCGGUUGGGGAUGGACUCGCGGCUUAUCAGCUUGUUGGUGGGGUAGUGGCUUACCAAGGCUUUGACGGGUAGCCGGCCUGAGAGGGUGACCGGCCACAUUGGGACUGAGAUACGGCCCAGACUCCUACGGGAGGCAGCAGUGGGGAAUAUUGCACAAUGGGCGGAAGCCUGAUGCAGCAACGCCGCGUGCGGGAUGACGGCCUUCGGGUUGUAAACCGCUUUCGCCUGUGACGAAGCGUGAGUGACGGUAAUGGGUAAAGAAGCACCGGCUAACUACGUGCCAGCAGCCGCGGUGAUACGUAGGGUGCGAGCGUUGUCCGGAUUUAUUGGGCGUAAGGGGCUCGUAGGUGGUUGAUCGCGUCGGAAGUGUAAUCUUGGGGCUUAACCCUGAGCGUGCUUUCGAUACGGGUUGACUUGAGGAAGGUAGGGGAGAAUGGAAUUCCUGGUGGAGCGGUGGAAUGCGCAGAUAUCAGGAGGAACACCAGUGGCGAAGGCGGUUCUCUGGGCCUUUCCUGACGCUGAGGAGCGAAAGCGUGGGGAGCGAACAGGCUUAGAUACCCUGGUAGUCCACGCUGUAAACGGUGGGUACUAGGUGUGGGGUCCAUUCCACGGGUUCCGUGCCGUAGCUAACGCUUUAAGUACCCCGCCUGGGGAGUACGGCCGCAAGGCUAAAACUCAAAGGAAUUGACGGGGCCCCGCACAAGCGGCGGAGCAUGCGGAUUAAUUCGAUGCAACGCGUAGAACCUUACCUGGGUUUGACAUGGAUCGGGAGUGCUCAGAGAUGGGUGUGCCUCUUUUGGGGUCGGUUCACAGGUGGUGCAUGGCUGUCGUCAGCUCGUGUCGUGAGAUGUUGGGUUAAGUCCCGCAACGAGCGCAACCCUUGUUCACUGUUGCCAGCACGUUAUGGUGGGGACUCAGUGGAGACCGCCGGGGUCAACUCGGAGGAAGGUGGGGAUGACGUCAAGUCAUCAUGCCCCUUAUGUCCAGGGCUUCACGCAUGCUACAAUGGCUGGUACAGAGAGUGGCGAGCCUGUGAGGGUGAGCGAAUCUCGGAAAGCCGGUCUCAGUUCGGAUUGGGGUCUGCAACUCGACCUCAUGAAGUCGGAGUCGCUAGUAAUCGCAGAUCAGCAACGCUGCGAUGAAUACGUUCCCGGGGCU